This 465-nucleotide ribosomal RNA is filed under the name uncultured bacterium. RNAcentral describes it as "partial 16S ribosomal RNA". It matches the Rfam family "Bacterial small subunit ribosomal RNA", at positions 28 to 507 of the family's 1533-position model. The record is from RNAcentral.
GACGAACGCUGGCGGCGUGCUUAACACAUGCAGGUCGAACGGAAAGGCCCCUUUGGGGGUACUCGAGUGGCGAACGGGUGAGUAACACGUGAGUAACCUGCCCUUGACUUCGGGAUAACUUCAGGAAACUGGGGCUAAUACCGGAUAGGAAUCCUUGCUGCAUGGUGGGGGUUGGAAAGCUUCGGCGGUUUUGGAUGGACUCGCGGCUUAUCAGCUUGUUGGUGGGGUAGUGGCUUACCAAGGCUUUGACGGGUAGCCGGCCUGAGAGGGCGACCGGCCACAUUGGGACUGAGAUACGGCCCAGACUCCUACGGGAGGCAGCAGUGGGGAAUAUUGCACAAUGGGCGGAAGCCUGAUGCAGCAACGCCGCGUGCGGGAUGACGGCCUUCGGGUUGUAAACCGCUUUCAGCAGGGGCGAAGCUUGUGGUGACGGUACCUGCAGAAGAAGCACCGGCUAACUACGUG